This 254-nucleotide ribosomal RNA is filed under the name uncultured bacterium. RNAcentral's name for it is "partial 16S ribosomal RNA". It matches the Rfam family "Bacterial small subunit ribosomal RNA", at positions 524 to 776 of the family's 1533-position model. The record is from RNAcentral.
UACGUAGGGUGCAAGCGUUGUCCGGAAUUAUUGGGCGUAAAGAGCUCGUAGGCGGUUUGUUGCGUCGGCUGUGAAAUCCCGAGGCUCAACCUCGGGUCUGCAGUCGAUACGAGCAAACUAGAGUGUUGCAGGGGAGACUGGAAUUCCUGGUGUAGCGGUGAAAUGCGCAGAUAUCAGGAGGAACACCGGUGGCGAAGGCGGGGUCUCUGGGCAACUACUGACGCUGAGGAGCGAAAGCGUGGGGAGCGAACAGG